This is a small nuclear RNA of Apteryx haastii (Great spotted kiwi), 160 nucleotides long. Its record names the gene U1. It matches the Rfam family "U1 spliceosomal RNA". Rfam says of the family: U1 is a small nuclear RNA (snRNA) component of the spliceosome (involved in pre-mRNA splicing). Its 5' end forms complementary base pairs with the 5' splice junction, thus defining the 5' donor site of an intron. The record is from Ensembl. NCBI's taxonomy places the organism in Eukaryota, Metazoa, Chordata, Aves, Apterygiformes, Apterygidae.
CUGGGGACCUGGCAGAGAGACCGUGAUCAGGACAGUGGUUUUCCCUGGGCAAGGUUAUCCAUUGCAUAGCUGCUGUGCCGAGGCCUGUGACUGCCCCAAAUGCAGGAAACUUGAUUGCAUUAUUUACAGUAGUAGGGAUCUGUGUGCUCAAAGAACCAAA